CCUACGGGUGGCAGCAGUGGGGAAUAUUGCACAAUGGGGGAAACCCUGAUGCAGCGACGCCGCGUGAGUGAAGAAGUACUUCGUUAUUUAAAGCUCUAUCAGCAGGGAAGAAAAUGACGGUACCUGUGCAAGAAGCCCCGGCUAACUACGUGCCAGCAUCCGCUGUAAUACGUAGGGGGCAAGCGUUAUCCGGAUUGACUGGGUGUAAAGGGAGCGUAGACGGGAGUGCAAGUCUGGAGGGAAAGGCGGGGGCUCAACCCCCGGACUGCUCUGGAAACUGUACGGCUGGAGUGCAGGAGAGGUAAGUGGAAUUCCUGGUGUAGCGGUGAAAUGCGUAGAUAUUAGGAGGAACACCAGUGGCGAAGGCGGCUUACUGGACUGUAACUGACGUUGAGGCUCGAAAGCGUGGGGAGCGAACAGGAUUAGAUACCCCUGUAGUC
Molecule: ribosomal RNA, 440 nt
Filed under: uncultured bacterium
Lineage: Bacteria
Description: partial 16S ribosomal RNA
Rfam family: Bacterial small subunit ribosomal RNA
Source: RNAcentral